RNAcentral lists this ribosomal RNA (262 nucleotides) under uncultured archaeon. RNAcentral's name for it is "partial 16S ribosomal RNA". It matches the Rfam family "Archaeal small subunit ribosomal RNA", at positions 748 to 1008 of the family's 1478-position model. The record is from RNAcentral.
UAGCCGUAAACGAUACUCGCUAGGUGUCGGCCACGGUGCGACCGUUGUCGGUGCCGUAGGGAAGCCGUGAAGCGAGCCACCUGGGAAGUACGGCCGCAAGGCUGAAACUUAAAGGAAUUGGCGGGGGAGCACCACAACGGGUGGAGCUUGCGGUUUAAUUGGAUUCAACGCCGGAAAUCUUACCGGGACCGACAGGCAACAUGAAGGCCAGGCUGAAGACUUUGCCGGAUUAGCUGAGAGGUGGUGCAUGGCGUCAGUGACU